CAGACCUAAUCAUUGGGCUCCUGCACCCAAAAUUUUUCUUAAUCCAACAUCGAGGUCGCAAUCUGCUUUGUCGAUAUGAGCUCUCAAAAACAAUUACGCUGUUAUCCCUAAGGUAACUUAAUCUUAUGAUCAUAAAUUAUGGAUCAAAAUAACAAACAUAAAUAAAUGAUAUAAUAAUGAAGAGUUUAUCUAUUCUUCAUGUCACCCCAACAAAACAUCAUCAUUAAAUAUAGAAAGACAACAAAAACUAUAUAAAAGUAAAAUGUCAAGCUCUAUAGGGUCUUCUCGUUCUAAAGAAGAAUUUAAGCCUUUUGACUCAAAAGUUAAAUUCAAAAAUUUAUUAAGAGACAGUCGAUUUCUCGUCAAGCCAUUCAUUCCAGCCACUAAUUAAGAGACUAAUGAUUAUGCUACCUUUGCACGGUCAAAAUACCGCGGCUCUUUAAAAAUACGCUCAGUGAGCAGGCCAGACCUCAAAAUAUAAACAAGAGGACAUGUUUUUGAUAAACAGGCGGAAAUCAAUUUUGCCUAGUUCCUUAUAAUAAGUUCACAAGGUAAAAAUUUCAUACAAAUAAAUAUACUAAUUCUAUCAUUAUUACAAAAAUUUUAAAAUUAAAUUAAUAAUCUUAAUAAAAAACCUAAAAUAUUUAUAAAAUCAAAAUAAAAAAUAAUGAACUAAAACGUAAUCUUAAAGAUAGCUGGUUUAAAGCUUACUAUUAUAUUUCUAUAAAAUAAAUUAUAGGUUAUUAACUUCAAAGCUUAUCCCUUAAAGAAUAAAUAAGUUAAUAUUUUUACUUAAAAAAUUAAAUAAAAACAAAUAACUUUAAAAAAUUAAAUUUUUUCUUAAGAAACUAGAUAUCUUGGGAAACGAUUAACAUCUCAUUUCUAUAAAUAAUUUAAUAAUAAUUAUGAUACAUUAACUAUAAAUUAUUUAUAAAUCAACCCAAAUCGAGACGAGUAAAAUAAAUACUAAAAUUUUGAUAAACCCUGAUACAAAAGGUACAAUAAAUAAAAUCUACUUAAAAAAAUUUAAAAUAAUAUUUCAUAAAACACUUACAUUACCAAUAAACUCUAA
Long non-coding RNA from Schistocerca gregaria, 1072 nucleotides. RefSeq lists it as uncharacterized. NCBI's taxonomy places the organism in Eukaryota, Metazoa, Arthropoda, Insecta, Orthoptera, Acrididae. The transcript is spliced from 2 exons. The record is from RefSeq and is a predicted model, not a curated record.